Molecule: ribosomal RNA, 253 nt
Filed under: uncultured bacterium
Lineage: Bacteria
Description: partial 16S ribosomal RNA
Rfam family: Bacterial small subunit ribosomal RNA
Source: RNAcentral
UACGUAGGGUGCGAGCGUUAAUCGGAAUUACUGGGCGUAAAGCGUGCGCAGGCGGUUUUGUAAGCCAGAUGUGAAAUCCCCGGGCUUAACCUGGGAAUGACAUUUGGGACUGCAAGGCUGGAGUGUGGCAGAGGAGACUGGAAUUCCUGGUGUAGCAGUGAAAUGCGUAGAUAUCAGGAGGAAUACCGAUGGCGAAGGCAGGUCUCUGGGCUGACACUGACGCUCAUGCACGAAAGCGUGGGGAGCAAACAGG